This 462-nucleotide ribosomal RNA is filed under the name uncultured bacterium. RNAcentral's name for it is "SSU rRNA". It matches the Rfam family "Bacterial small subunit ribosomal RNA", at positions 26 to 518 of the family's 1533-position model. The record is from RNAcentral.
AGGAUAAACGCUGGCGGCGUGCCUAACACAUGCAAGUCGAACGCGCACGGAGCAAUUCGUGUGAGUGGCGGACGGGUGAGUAACACGUGGGUACCUACCCCAAGGUGAGGAAUACUGGCGAGAAAUCGCCAACAAUACCGCAUAGGUUUGCGCAAGCAAACAAAGCCCGGGAACGGGCGCCAUGGGAAGGGCCUGCGGCCGAUUAGCUAGUUGGUGGGGUAAAAGCCUACCAAGGCAACGAUCGGUAGCUGGUCUGAGAGGAUGGUCAGCCACACUGGGAUUGAGAACGGCCCAGACUCCUACGGGGGGCAGCAGUGAGGAAUUUUCGUCAAUGGGGGAAACCCUGAACGAGCAACGCCGCGUGCAGGAAGAAGGUUUUCGGAUCGUAAACUGCUUUUCUCUGGGACGAGAACGGACGGUACCAGAGGAAUCAGCCCCGGCUAACUACGUGCCAGCAGCCGC